CGAGUUGACCCACCAAUGGAAACUAUGGACGGAAAAUUGACGCUCUGACCCGCUUUUAUACAGCAGACGGUGUUCUUAACAAUCCAGUGGUCCAUUUUGACAUCUUCUACCAAGCAAUGAUGGCUGUACCUGCUGAAUGAAAAACAAGUCUUGCGAUAAGUUUGUCAGCAUAGCAUCUGACCAUCUGCAGGGGAAUGAAUUUCACGCUACUGAAAUGCUUCACAUCCAACAAGAACGGAUACUGCUUCCAAAAGCACUCCCAAAACCACCUCUAGGCCUAAAUUCUAUACCUGACUCCCUUGACCUCGGACUGAAAAAAGCUUGUGUUUCCAUUCAUUAUCAGGAGAAACCUGUCCAAGGGUUGCGGCCAUUAACCAAGGGAAAGCGCUGUGUCCACACUUGAAGUGGUUCCCCUUGAUGACAGGUCAAGUAUGAGCAGCCAAUCAACGGAUGGCAGGUAACGUAGAGUAAUGUACAUACAAGUAGCAAGCCAGUUUGUAGAUAAAUACAAUUGACCUUCCGUGUAGAUGUACUUAA
This is a long non-coding RNA of Acanthaster planci (crown-of-thorns starfish), 537 nucleotides long. Lineage: Eukaryota; Metazoa; Echinodermata; Asteroidea; Valvatida; Acanthasteridae. The record is from RefSeq and is a predicted model, not a curated record.